Small nucleolar RNA from Gambusia affinis (western mosquitofish), 134 nucleotides. The record is from Ensembl. NCBI's taxonomy places the organism in Eukaryota, Metazoa, Chordata, Actinopteri, Cyprinodontiformes, Poeciliidae.
UGCAGCCUUGUCAAAUUCAGUGUGUCUCUUUGGUAGACAUCACUGGCCAAAAUGGCUGCCACAUAAACUGUAGUUCAUGGGCCCCACUUCCUCUCAAAAUAGCAAAUGGGGACAAAUCUGUACUACAGACAAUC